CCUACGGGAGGCAGCAGUAGGGAAUUUUCGGCAAUGGGGGGAACCCUGACCGAGCAACGCCGCGUGAAGGAAGAAGGAAUUCGUUCUGUAAACUUCUGUUAUAAAGGAAGAAAGACGGAUGGAGGAAAUGACAUCCGAGUGACGGUACUUUAUGAGAAAGCCACGGCUAACUACGUGCCAGCAGCCGCGGUAAU
Molecule: ribosomal RNA, 194 nt
Filed under: uncultured bacterium
Lineage: Bacteria
Description: partial 16S ribosomal RNA
Rfam family: Bacterial small subunit ribosomal RNA
Source: RNAcentral